ACCACCUCACUCCAUUUCUCCUGCUCAUUUGCAAGGGCCUCCGACUCGGGCCACCUCCUCAGAGCUGACAGAGCAGGCUCCGAGAGAGCCACGGGGUGACUGAAAGGAUGAUCUUUGGAAUUUUUCCACUUCCUGUCCCUCUCUGCAUUCCAGUGUCAACAGUGACACUGCAGAAGAAUAUGCUGCCCUUGCUGCGGUGUCCCAGGGCCUCUGGCCGUCUGGGCUUUGAUUAUGGUUGCGGGAACAGCCCCGUGGGGAGAUGAUGGGAGGACUUUCUGUCUCCUCCUUCCCAUUCUUUUUUUUUUUUUAAGAUUUAUUUAUUUAUUUUGAGAAUUUUAAUAUUUUUUAGUUAUUGGCAGACACAACAUCUUUUGUUUGUAUGUGGUGCUGAGGAUCGAACCCGGGCCGCACGCAUGCCAGGCGAGCGCGCUACCGCUUGAGCCACGUCCCCAGCCCCUCCUUCCCAUUCUUUUCUUCGAGCACCUGAGCCUGCUCAGGAAGACGCAGCGGAGCACACAGACUCCCGAGGCCCACAGCCCAGUUCAUACCCUGGAUCCCCAAUGGCGGCCAAUGAGAUCCUUGCUUCCAACCCUUGGCUCCCUCCUGAAGAUACCGGUGGAAGCCACGGUCCCAGAAGGAUCAAGGUGGAGCCGGCGGACCCCCCUGCAGCCUGGAGAUGCCACCCCAGGACCCUGUGGAGGCUGGCAGACUUCUGUAAAGGCAGGAGUCCCUCUCACACCCCUCGCUCAGACACUGCCCACGACACAUGAGCCUGUAUCCAGUGGAGCUUUCUUCACCGAAUCGGAACUUGAACUUCCCAUGUCAGUUGCCCGGGCUGCACAGUAUCCCUCUUUUCGUGUUUGUGUCUGAUUAAAGCCAGGGCCUUGCUCAUGCUGAGCCUGCUCUUCCACUGAGUACAGCCUAGCCCUGAAAUAGCCCUCCUUAGAUUUUUUUAAACACUUUUUAAUAUUUAAAAACAUAUCAACCUUGUGUUGAGGAUAGAGCUCCACCGUAGAGUGCUUACCUAGCACGUGUCAGGCCCUGGGUUAGAGUCCCAGCACUGCCAAAAAACAUAAAUAAUAAUAAUAAUAAUAAUAAAGGAAAACAUGAAGAAUUCUUAGCUCAUGGUUUGCCCAGCCUUGCUCAGGUUCAUGAAAUUUCUUGGUUAUAAAACAAACAGGUGCCUGGAGCCUUCUGAUUGUGCAAUCUUGGAUAGACCACUUUAUUGCUUCUAAAUCUCGACUUUCUCGUCGUAAGGAGGAGACAAAUAGAAUUCUUCUCACAGAAUAAACUAAAUAAAAUACAGGAAAUGUC
Marmota monax (woodchuck) is the source of this 1314-nucleotide long non-coding RNA. RefSeq lists it as uncharacterized. Lineage: Eukaryota; Metazoa; Chordata; Mammalia; Rodentia; Sciuridae. The record is from RefSeq and is a predicted model, not a curated record. The transcript is spliced from 2 exons.